AGCGUGAGUUUUAAAUUUUUUCCUCUUUCCCAAAAUGUCGGUUCCUAUUAAUAUAAUUUCGAUUACAUACUAGCAAUAUCAUACAUUCAACUUUAAUGAAAUAAAUCACAGUCGUAUAAUUUUUAUUUUAUUUUUAAAUUAUUGUAAAAUAUAUUAAUUCUUAGUCAUUGGAUCUAAUCCAAUGAUUGACGAAUUAAGUAUCUGUCACUUUUUUUACCUAAAUUUUUCUCAAAUAGUACGUAUCAAAUUUCACUUUUAUAUGCUUCCCUAUCUCCUAAUAACGGCUGCCCACGUAAUAUCAUAUUUUAUCAGAAAUUUGUAUUUCUUAAAUAUUUUCUUUCUCGCACUUAAUAUCCGCCACCUACAUAAUAUCCAAUAAUGUAAUAUCUUCCGCUUAUAUAAUAUUUAAUUAUAUUUUAUUAAAAGAUGAAUAUAUAAAAAUUAUCUCAAUAGAAUAUAACAAAUAAUUUUACAAUUUAAAAUUUAAAAUUUGUAGAUAAAUAUGAUUCACAAAUUGAUAUUGAUUUGAGAUAAUUAUUAAAAUAGUUGUUGACGAGAUUUUUUUAGUAGGAAAAAAUAUUGCAUUUCAUUUAUAAAAAUUUUAGAAAAAUUCAUACUUAUCCAAAUUUCUGUCAACCGAAGGAUAUCUGCUGUUGAAUAUUUUUCAAAAACACCCCAUAAAAGAAUAUUCCAUACUCAUCAAAAAAUAAAAAUCUUUACACAACACACAUUGAAAAUAUUUAUUAUCCACUAUCUCUCAAUUAACUAACUAAAAAGAAAUUAGGUUUGAAAA
This 793-nucleotide long non-coding RNA is filed under the name Ananas comosus (pineapple). RNAcentral's name for it is "long non-coding RNA (ACOM_LNC024919)". Lineage: Eukaryota; Viridiplantae; Streptophyta; Magnoliopsida; Poales; Bromeliaceae. The record is from RNAcentral.